GACGAACGCUGGCGGCGUGCUUAACACAUGCAAGUCGAACGGAAAGGCCCUGCUUGCAGGGUACUCGAGUGGCGAACGGGUGAGUAACACGUGGGUGAUCUGCCCUGCACUUCGGGAUAAGCCUGGGAAACUGGGUCUAAUACCGGAUAGGAGCCAUUUUUAGUGUGAUGGUUGGAAAGUUUUUUCGGUGUAGGAUGAGCUCGCGGCCUAUCAGCUUGUUGGUGGGGUAAUGGCCUACCAAGGCGGCGACGGGUAGCCGGCCUGAGAGGGUGGACGGCCACGUUGGGACUGAGAUACGGCCCAGACUCCUACGGGAGGCAGCAGUGGGGAAUAUUGCACAAUGGGCGCAAGCCUGAUGCAGCGACGCCGCGUGGGGGAUGACGGCCUUCGGGUUGUAAACUCCUUUCGCUAGGGACGAAGCUUUUUGUGACGGUAUCUAGAUAAGAAGCACCGGCUAACUACGUG
RNAcentral lists this ribosomal RNA (465 nucleotides) under uncultured bacterium. RNAcentral's name for it is "partial 16S ribosomal RNA". It matches the Rfam family "Bacterial small subunit ribosomal RNA", at positions 28 to 507 of the family's 1533-position model. The record is from RNAcentral.